Molecule: ribosomal RNA, 400 nt
Filed under: phytoplankton environmental sample
Lineage: Eukaryota
Description: partial small subunit ribosomal RNA
Rfam family: Eukaryotic small subunit ribosomal RNA
Source: RNAcentral
AGCUCCAGCAGCGUAUAUUUAUAUUGCUGCGUUUAAAAAGCUCGUAGUUGAAGCGUCAGACGCGGGAGGGCGGACGGCCGCACUGGUCGCUCUCGCCCGACCGAGCCAGGCGCAGAGGGCGCGCGUCGCUUGCACUUUACCGUGUGAGCGCGCCGCCGCUGCACGUUCACCUUGAAGAAAUUGAACCGCUUAGAGGGGGCGAGCAGCUUGCACAGCUCAGCAUGGUAUGAUGGAACAUGGGCUCGUACUCAUUUUGUUGGUUAGAGAGUCGGCGAGCCAAUGAUUAACAGGGACUGCCGGGGGCAUUCGUACUCGGACGGGAGAGGUGAAAUUCAAGGAUCGUCCGAAGACGCCCUACUGCGAAAGCAUUUGCCAAGAAUGUUUUCAUUAAUCAAGAACG